GGCUCUAGAAAAGUAAAGAAGCGAAAUUAAUUUUUCUUACCUUGGUGCGGCAUAAAGAAGAGAAACAAAAACGACGAUCAACUCUUCCAAAGGGUAAGCACAUAAGAAAACUAGGGGAGGGGUUUAGAAUAUCCUUUAGCCUUUUCUCUCUUUCUUGCUGGGAUAAAAAAUUCCUCUCCAAAGUUGGUUUCACUUGGUUUCCCUUUCCAAGAAGACUCUAUAUUUAAGUUAAAGUAGAAUAUCUACAUCAAAUUGAAAAAUAACUAUCUGCUCACCUAUGCACCUUGGGAUUUCUACACCUACUCCCCUUUACUGCAUGCAACCUAGCAUUUGUGGAGCAAAAAGUAAUCCAAAAAAUUAUGGACACGUAGACUAUUUUAUCUCAAGAAAGACAAGAAUGCUCACAUUAAAUGGGCAAGGUAUACAAAUACUCCCUCGCGCAACUCAGCAUCCCUGGAGGUCCAAGCAACUAACCACAACUCCUCAAAACUCCCUACUCAUCGCAUGGAAAAGUCAAAGACAUUAAAGAUAGGAUUAAUUACUAAAUCUUAUUUUUAAUACAUUCCUAAUUGAAGUUCAACUGCAUCAAGUAAGGAAGCCUAUCACAAUCAAUCAUUGAUGCUUCCAUCAUCAGCCCAAGAUAUUAUCUCCUAAUUAAUCAUGGAUACUUCCUCAUGCAUCCAGCAGAUGCUUCCUCAUUCAUCCAACGGAUGACACACCUUGGUCAAUCAGAUACCUUUACCCUAUUGCCGGCCACUCCUCCCUAUAAAUACCUCAUCUCCACCAAAUUUCUGAUAAACUUUUGCUAAACACUUAAGCCCUAACUCACUCACUUCUUUAGAGUUACUGACUUAGGCAUCAGAGUUCCAUUGGCUAAACUCCUCCCCCCAUGAGCGCGUGUGGCUUUGGCCUUGAUCAAAGGAAUUUACAAUUUACAAGAUUCGAACUUAAGACUUCUUACUUACAAGUGAAGAUGAAUACCACUAGAUGGUAGUACUAAAUGGCAGGGCUUUUCCUUAUUGAAUGAGAAUUUUUGCCGAAACCCUUUCAUUUACUAGCUCAUAAAAAAUUAAGAAUGUUUUGGUUUUUUUUUAAAUUUUUUUUUUAAUUUAUUUGCCUUAUGUAACAUGGUGGGAUUACUUAGCUACUAUGUUCACAAAAGCAAUAAUUGUAAACGGACCGAAACAGUUGGGAAAUGUUUAAGUACCUAAAAGAGCCAACUAUAUUAGAAUAAUUAUGUUGAAGUUGAGUCGUAUAGUUUCUCAUCUGUGGCUCACAAAGACUAAGAUACACAAUAUAAGCAAGAAAACAAACGCUAAUUUAGGAUAGAAUGACAUUAUCACAUGUCGCCAAGAAAAAAAAAAAUCUCUUAUACAUAAUUCGUUCCAACAAAAUUGCAAAACAUCCUACAUGAGAACUACGCGCUUACUAGUGUCUAGUUCUUAAGUUUCUUGGUGCUUUCGUUCCUUUUUUUUUAACUUCUACAGACCAUUUUCAUUCUAUUAUUUCCUUAAGAAUCGUGGGUUUGAAUUUGUAACUUCUUUCAUUAUUGGAAUGAGAAAUUUCAUUAAACUAUAUUCUAACUGGAAAAUUGAUGAAAGUACUUAAUAGGUUAAGAACACAACCUUUUUUUUUUUUUUUUUUUUUUUUAUCACAAAAGCAGUUGAAAUAAAAUUUUACAUAUAAUUUUUAAGUGUGAACAUCUUAAAAAAAUAUCAGAGAGUUAAAAUGUAUAAAAGUAAGAUAUUGACAAUAAUCAAAUUUUGAAAGGCAACAUAAUUCGCAAUAAUGAAGGUCAUCCCUGACUAUUGGGAGAUCCUUAUUCUGUGCAAGGCAGUUGUCUCCUCAUCUAUUAAGAUUGUUGCCUACUUGUAUGCAUUAUUAAAGUCUCUCGCUAUCACUGAUUAAGUGAUCAAAGAAAGUUUCCUACUUCAUAAUUCAUAUAUUGCAGGACCUCAACGAUCUCCUAAGUUCUCUAUUAGUUCAUACUAAUUAUGAUUGCUCUAAAUUAGAGAGCAUUAUCGGAGUACAAAUUUUUUAUAGGAGCUUCCAAGAUAAUUAGUUAAAAUAUGAUUAAGAGGAGUUGAAUAUCAGAGUGCGCAACGAAUAAGACUAACAAAAUAAGAAUAUUAUUAAACAAACGAGAAUGCCGAAACGGCUAUAAAACCCUAAGAGACUACAUUGUGAAUGACUUAUUCUCAAACUAAAUUACAAGCUCUAUUUAUAGAGCAAUAAACCUAAGAAACCCUAAUGCAUAAAUGCCAAAAAUACCCUACUACAAAAUCAAAUCAAAUCUCUAAUUAAUUUCCUAAAUAAACCUAAUAAAUUCCAACCACCCUCCUGUCAAACUCAUGGCGGUACACGACAUGGGUUUGCCAAAGUGAUGUGGAUGCAAGCUCCGUUAUACUAUCUUUCGAUGCCAAUUCCAAUACGAAAUUUCAUCGAUGCAAGUGCAAGAUCCCAAAUUCCAGUGCCAGUGCCAAUGCCAAUGCAAGAUUCCAAUGCCAGUGCCAGUGCAAGAUUCCAUGCAAGUGCCAAUGCAAGAUUCCAUGCCAGUGCCAGUGCAAAAUUUCCAUGCCAGUGCAAAAUUUUCAUGCUAGUGCAAAUUCCAACUUCCGAACAAACUCAUUGUGGGCCUCCAAACCAGGCGCAACAGCAGCUUCAAACAACCAAGCUUUUCAUGCCCGUGUGGGCUAAAACCUCAACUUUUCAAUUUUUUUCUUCCUUUUCCUCCUUUUCUCGUAUUUUUGCUUCUAUCUUGCGAAUUGGAUCUUCCUCAUUUUGUUUAAAAAUCAUGAAGGAAUAGAUGUGAUGCAGGUAGAGGUCAGAGUGCAGUUGCGGUGCCGCAGUGGGUGUAGACGGUUCAGUUUUUCUUUCUUUUUUUCUUUUCCUUGCAAACAAUCAAUACCAACUAACAAAUCUAAAACAAACGACAACAAAGGCAAACAAAUUGAUACCAACGAGAACGGAUUGAACCCUAAGGAUCGAACCCGCUCUGCUACCAAGUUGAAUAUCAGAGUGCGCAACGAAUAAGACUAACAAAAUAAGAAUAUUAUUAAACAAACGAGAAUGCCAAAACGGCUAUAAAACCCUAAGAGACUACAUUGUGAAUGACUUAUUUUCAAACUAAAUUACAAGCUCUAUUUAUAGAGCAAUAAACCUAAGAAACCCUAAUGCAUAAAUGCCAAAAAUACCCUACUACAAAAUCAAAUCAAAUCUCUAAUUAAUUUCCUAAAUAAACCUAAUAAAUUCCAACAAGAGGUAGAUUGUCUUAGUGGUUAGGGUUUUUCUCUUCAAUUCACAGCAUUUUAAGUUCAAACUCCCUACUGUAUAUUACUAUAGAAUAUCACUUUAUAAUAUAUAUAUAUAUAUAUAUAUAUACAUAUAUAUAAAUGAAGAGGAUGAAGGAUUAGGUGGGUCAAACUAAUCAAAGAAAGAACCAAGAGCAAUGAGAAAUGACCAAGACCCGAGAUUUAGCCACAAAUAAAAAAGUAGGCUACUUCUAUUCCGCUUAAAGCGAUUAGAAAUGACUAACUUCUUGAUAAAACAACCCCCAUGUCCCCUAUCUCUGAAAUUUUGUUUAAUUAAUAUACAAGCAAAGGUACGAAACUAUGUCCCGUAAAGAGAACAAAAAAAAAAAAAAUCAACGAAAACAAAAAAAAUGACAAAAUGAAAUGUCAUCAGCAUGAGCGGCAGAUGCAAAAUUUGAAAUAUUGUGAACCACCAAUAAUAAGCAUUGUGAGCCUAACGCAUUGACAACCUGAUUACUCUCCCUACAAGACACUUGUAUUAAAAAUUAGUUCAGGUACAAAACAAUACAACAAUAAUGGUCUUGGUCUUGUUUCGAAUGAGCAUCAUAAAUACUGUUCUUUAUUCUUGAAGAAACUUGUAAGAUUCAUAAGAGCAAGGACGCAAGAAUUUGAGAAUCUUUUCCCAAGAAACCCAAUUGUGAUAUAAAUGGAAGCAUAUAUUAGCUGUUGUAAGUAAAUAUAAUUCAGUUCACUGAAAACAUUAAGCUACCACAAACCUCUCAUUUGUAGAAUAUGUUCUCAAUAAUCCUCUCUAAUAAUUGAGCAGCAAAGUAAAAGAUAUUUGAUAUAAAUCUAAGACACAUUUUCAUAUGUUUGGUAUCAAAACAACAAA
This 4143-nucleotide long non-coding RNA is filed under the name Malus domestica (apple). Its description in RNAcentral is "long non-coding RNA (MDOM_LNC017019)". Lineage: Eukaryota; Viridiplantae; Streptophyta; Magnoliopsida; Rosales; Rosaceae. The record is from RNAcentral.